This 835-nucleotide ribosomal RNA is filed under the name Ramichloridium luteum. RNAcentral's name for it is "eukaryotic LSU rRNA". It matches the Rfam family "Eukaryotic large subunit ribosomal RNA", at positions 41 to 912 of the family's 3401-position model. Lineage: Eukaryota; Fungi; Ascomycota; Dothideomycetes; Mycosphaerellales; Dissoconiaceae. The record is from RNAcentral.
UAUCAAUAAGCGGAGGAAAAGAAACCAACAGGGAUUGCCCCAGUAACGGCGAGUGAAGCGGCAACAGCUCAAAUUUGAAAUCUGGCGCAAGCCCGAGUUGUAAUUUGUAGAGGAUGCUUCUGGGUAGCGGCCGGUCUAAGUUCCUUGGAACAGGACGUCACAGAGGGUGAGAAUCCCGUAUGUGAUCGGCCCGCGCCCUCUACGUAGCUCCUUCGACGAGUCGAGUUGUUUGGGAAUGCAGCUCUAAAUGGGAGGUAAAUUUCUUCUAAAGCUAAAUACCGGCCAGAGACCGAUAGCGCACAAGUAGAGUGAUCGAAAGAUGAAAAGCACUUUGGAAAGAGAGUUAAACAGCACGUGAAAUUGUUGAAAGGGAAGCGCUUGCAACCAGACUUGUCCGCGGUGUUCCGCCGGUCUUCUGACCGGUCUACUCGCCGCGGGCAGGCCAUCAUCGUCUGGGGCCGCCGGAGAAACCGUCAGGAAUGUAGCUCCCUCGGGAGUGUUAUAGCCUGGCGACAUGCGGCGCGCCCCGGGCGAGGUCCGCGCACUGCAAGGAUGAUGGCGUAAUGGUUGUCAGCGGCCCGUCUUGAAACACGGACCAAGGAGUCUAACAUCUAUGCGAGUGUUCGGGUGUCAAACCCCUGCGCGUAAUGAAAGUGAACGGAGGUGGGAGCUUCGGCGCACCAUCGACCGAUCCUGAUGUCCUCGGAUGGAUUUGAGUAAGAGCAUAGCUGUUGGGACCCGAAAGAUGGUGAACUAUGCCUGAAUAGGGUGAAGCCAGAGGAAACUCUGGUGGAGGCUCGCAGCGGUUCUGACGUGCAAAUCGAUCGUCAAAUUU